GACGUAGGGCGCGAGCGUUGUCCGGAUUUAUUGGGCGUAAAGCGCACGUAGGCGGCUUUGUAAGUUAGAGGUGAAAGCCCAGGGCUCAACCCUGGAAUUGCCUUUAAGACUGCAUCGCUUGAACAUCGGAGAGGUAAGUGGAAUUCCGAGUGUAGAGGUGAAAUUCGUAGAUAUUCGGAAGAACACCAGUGGCGAAGGCGACUUACUGGACGAUUGUUGACGCUGAGGUGCGAAAGCGUGGGGAGCAAACAGG
Molecule: ribosomal RNA, 253 nt
Filed under: uncultured bacterium
Lineage: Bacteria
Description: partial 16S ribosomal RNA
Rfam family: Bacterial small subunit ribosomal RNA
Source: RNAcentral